RNAcentral lists this microRNA precursor (188 nucleotides) under Oryza brachyantha (malo sina). RNAcentral describes it as "MIR812 microRNA precursor family". It matches the Rfam family "MIR812 microRNA precursor family". Lineage: Eukaryota; Viridiplantae; Streptophyta; Magnoliopsida; Poales; Poaceae. The record is from Rfam by way of RNAcentral.
AAUACAUGAAUUUGUAAGUUUUUAUGGAAGUUUUGACUCUUCGUCUUAUUUAAUUUUUUUAUGAUUAAUAUUUUUACUGUUACUACGUGAUAAAAUAUGAAUAGUAUUUUACGUGCGACUAAUUUUUUAAAACUUUUUAGUAAUUUUUUUAAAUAAAACGGAUGGUCAAAUGCUCAAACUAGAAAAUC